UACGAAGGGGGCUAGCGUUGUUCGGAAUUACUGGGCGUAAAGCGCGCGCAGGCGGUUCUUCAAGUCCGAGGUGAAAGCCCAGGGCUCAACCCUGGAAUGGCCUUUGAGACUAGAGGACUUGGGUACGGGAGAGGUGAGUGGAAUUCCGAGUGUAGAGGUGAAAUUCGUAGAUAUUCGGAAGAACACCAGUGGCGAAGGCGGCUCACUGGCCCGUUACCGACGCUCAGGCGCGACAGCGUGGGGAGCAAACGGG
RNAcentral lists this ribosomal RNA (253 nucleotides) under uncultured bacterium. Its description in RNAcentral is "partial 16S ribosomal RNA". It matches the Rfam family "Bacterial small subunit ribosomal RNA", at positions 524 to 776 of the family's 1533-position model. The record is from RNAcentral.